GCCCUUUGUACACACCGCCCGUCGCUACUACCGAUUGAAUGGCUCAGUGAGGCCUUCGGACUGGCCCAGGGAGGUCGGCAACGACCACCCAGGGCCGGAAAGUUGGUCAAACUCGGUCAUUUAGAGGAAGUAAAAGUCGUAACAAGGUCUCCGUAGGUGAACCUGCGGAGGGAUCAUUA
Molecule: ribosomal RNA, 179 nt
Filed under: Cercospora cf. malloti CPC 24820
Lineage: Eukaryota; Fungi; Ascomycota; Dothideomycetes; Mycosphaerellales; Mycosphaerellaceae
Also listed under: 1 other name
Description: partial 18S ribosomal RNA
Rfam family: Eukaryotic small subunit ribosomal RNA
Source: RNAcentral